AAAAGAGGGGUCCUCUUCGCAGCGUGGUGUGCAUAGCCCCACCUUGUGUGGGGAGAGCCUGAAGCGCUGUCCGGACAACCACCUGGUUAGCCAGGUUCAAACCUCAUCCCUCAAACGGCACAAAGGCGGGGGGUCC
Molecule: small RNA, 136 nt
Filed under: Candidatus Methylomirabilota bacterium
Lineage: Bacteria; Methylomirabilota (SeqCode)
Description: partial 6S RNA
Rfam family: 6S / SsrS RNA
About the family: E. coli 6S RNA was the first non coding RNA to be sequenced, but its function was unknown until recently. It consists of 184 nucleotides that fold into an extended hairpin structure with a large single-stranded internal bulge.
Source: RNAcentral